GGUUACAUCGGUUUUUACUCCUAAGUUCUAAUCGUCGACAUGUAUAAAUCUCGAUUUUUGGUAUAGUCUAUUCUAGCUCGAAUUCAUGGAUUAUGUUAUAGAUUGCAAAUCUGAAUUUGGAGCAUGUGGUAAUAAAUUGAGUAGUUUAUAUAUGUUGGACUUGGAAUUUGAAUUAGGAGAAAACCUGCGAUUUGGACUUGUCACUUGUUUAAACUGCCUGAUUUAGCUCUGGGAGCCGUUAUAAAAUUGUACUGUCGCAGUAUUCUCGAGACGAGUACUCCAGGUAGUUUAGCAUACAUUUAUACUUGUGCUGGUACGCCGAGUGGAUUUUUACAGGGUCGGUUGGGCUGUUCCG
Molecule: long non-coding RNA, 355 nt
Filed under: Ananas comosus (pineapple)
Lineage: Eukaryota; Viridiplantae; Streptophyta; Magnoliopsida; Poales; Bromeliaceae
Description: long non-coding RNA (ACOM_LNC017635)
Source: RNAcentral